UAGUGGAACUAGGAUUUGAACUCAAACACGUAGCUGAACUUGUCAGCCUGGCUCCAGAGCCUGGGCUUUUAACAAAAAUACUAUACUGCCACUCAUUUUUAGGUAACCCAUCACCAACAAGGAGACAAAGUUCCACUAUGGUCACUUGUCCCUGACAGCCUGGGGGUUUGCUAUGCUGCUACAUAGAGUCCCACAGUGGGAGUCGAGACUGCACACUAUCAGCGUGCAGACCGCUGCCCUACUUUCAGAGCUAGCUUACAGAUUGGGGUGGGAAAGAAAGAAGGACAUUCAACCAAGACCCACUCUGGGUGCCCCCCGGUCCCCACCCCUUUAUCUAAUUUGGUUAAGUUUUGUAGUUUCAUUGACCAAAAGAAUGGACAAUAAUCCCACAUGAGAGAUGACCAAGAGACAGAAGCUCCUGAAGUGCUUCCUGGUAUUCAGCCACACAGAGUCAGUUAACAUUUCUCUUGCAGGUGUUUUGCUGAGCCAGGAUCCUGUGCUGGGCCAUCUCUGGCUUUCUGUUGGGAAUCGCUAUUCCAGUUAUAUCAUCAUAUUGUCAGAAGGAACUUUUACUUUAUAUUUAUUUGGAUUUUUUUUUUCUGAUCUUCUAGGGCUACCAUUUGAUCUCAAUGGCUAACCUGGUCAAAAGGAGACGGGUCUACCAGAAGUCAUUAUUUAAACGGUCAUGAGGGCCAGGACCUUAGAAUGUUGUGACUCUCCCACUUAUGUGCUGUUACUGAAUAUUACUUUAGUUCUCGCUCUUUUUAAAAAAACUCUAUACGUUAAAGAUAUUACUCCACCCUCUUGAGCCUUACAUUGUUGCUGUUGAGACAUCAAUAUUCAGUAUAAAUGCCUUUGAGGCAAAGGAGCAGUGGGCAACUCAACAAUUUGGCAGAAGUGGGGCAAAUCUGGUCCCUAUAGAGCCCUCAGGGUAAGUGCCACUGAUGACACUGAAGUUUUGGAUUUUAUUGAGUCAAGCACGUGAUGUCCAGGAGUGUGUCUAUUGCUGUGUGACAAACCACUUCAAAACCUGGUGGCUCAAAACAACAACAGUCCUUUAUUUUGCCCAUUAAUCUGCAAUUUGGGUGGGGCUAAGAAGGGAAGCACGUCUCUACUCAACAUUUCAUUGGCUGGUAAGACUGGCCUGGGGACCAGAGGAGCCACUCUCAAGAUAUGUCAUUCGUAUGACUGG
This is a long non-coding RNA of Ailuropoda melanoleuca (giant panda), 1192 nucleotides long. RefSeq lists it as uncharacterized. The record is from RefSeq and is a predicted model, not a curated record. The transcript has 4 exons. Lineage: Eukaryota; Metazoa; Chordata; Mammalia; Carnivora; Ursidae.